This 4139-nucleotide long non-coding RNA is filed under the name Homo sapiens (human). RNAcentral's name for it is "PREDICTED lncRNA (TCONS_00237691)". Lineage: Eukaryota; Metazoa; Chordata; Mammalia; Primates; Hominidae. The record is from RNAcentral.
CCUGGGUUCAAACAAUCCUCCCACCUCAGCCUCUCAAGUAGCUGGGACUACAGGCUUACACCACCAAGCUUGGCUAAUUUUUUUUUUUUUUUUUUUUAGAGAUGGUGUUUUGCUAAGUUGUCCACACUGAUCUCAAAAUCCUUUUGUUUUUGCUUUGGAAUGGUCUGGAACUCCUGAGCUCAAGUGAUCCUCCCACCUUGGCCUCCCAAAGGCCUGGGAUUACACGUAUGAGCCACCGCACCAAGCCCAUGUUGAGCUUUUAAGGUAUUAAAGAUCCACUAGGUGAAAAAAAAGAGUGAAAGAUACAUAUGCCAUUUAAGGGAAGCACAGGAAAACUCCUAUUUUGUUUAUAUGUGAAUAGAGGCACAUAGAUGCCUAGAAAAGUGUCUGGGAGGGAAUGAAACCAGAUUGGCCACAAAAAUCACCUCUGGAAAAAGGAAAAGAAUGGGGACUUUCACUUUUUGCUUCAUAUGUUUCAUGUACCUUUUUUUUUUUUUUUUUGAGAUGGAGUUUCACUCUUAUUGCCCAGGCUGGGGUGCAGUGGUGCGAUCUCAGCUCACUGCAACCUCUGCCUCCUAGGUUCAAGCGAUUCUCCUGCCUCAGCCUCCCAAGUAGCUGGGAUUACAGGCAUGCGCCACCACGCCCGGCUAAUUUUUUGUGUUUUUAGUAGAGACGAGGUUUCUCCAUGUUGGUCAGGCUGGUCUCGAACUCCUGACAUCAGGUGAUCUACCCACUUUGGCCUCCCAAAGUGCUGGGAUUACAGGCGUGAGCCACCGCGCCCAGCUGCUUUUUCUUUUUAAAAAGUAAAAUAUAACAGAGAAAACUGCACAAAACAGAAGUGUUCAAAUUAAAUUUUUUUUUUUUUGAGACAGGGUCUUGCCCUGUUGCCCAGGCUGGAGUGCAGUGGCUCAUUCAUAGCUCACUGCAGCCUCAAACUCCUGGGCUGUGCCACCACACGCAGCUGGUUUUUUUUUUUUUUUUUAAUUUUUUGUAGAGACAGGGUCUCGCUAUGUCACCCACGCUGGUCUCAAACUCACGGGCUCAAGCAAUCCUCCCAUCUUUGGCCUCCCAAAGUACUGAGACUACAAACAUGAGCCAUCUUGCCCAGCCCCUAGAACGUGUUAUCAAAUAAACACCGAUGCAACCCUCACUCAGCUGAGAAGUAAAACAUUGCCAGCCAAUCCCUAAAUGCUUCUGCUUGCCGCUUCCCAAUCCUAACCAAUGCCUUCUCCUGACAAUUAUGAUGGUCAUGUCUUUGCAUUUCUCUAAUGUUUCCCAUCACGAUCAAACUAGUUUUGUUUUGCCUGUGUCCAAACUUUGCAUAAAUGAGCAGCAUGUGUCUGGUGGACCUGGCUUCUUCCACUCAACAUUAUGAUAAGAAGAUUGACCAUUUGGUGCCCAUAGCUAUUGCUCUUGCAUUUUCAUUGCUCUAUAGAUUCUUACUCAACAUACCUUAAAAAUUUUUUUAUUCUGAAAUAAGAGCGGGAUGCUAUUAAAAAAAGAAAAAAGAAGAGAACAAAAAAGUCCUCCAGUAAAUUUAAAAUAUGGUAGUCAAGGCCGGGCACGGUGGCUCACACCUGUAAUCCCAGCACUUUGGGAGGCUGAGGUGGGUGGAUCACCCGAGGUCAGGAGUUCGAGACCAGCCCGGCCAACAUGGCAAAACCCUGUCUCUACGAAAAAAAUACAUAAAUCAGCCAGGUGUGGUGGUGUGCACCCGUAAUCCCAGCUACUCGGGAGGCUGAGACAUGAGAAUUGCUUGAGCCCGGGAGGCAGAGGUUUCGGUGAGCUGAGAACUGCCACUGCACUCCAGCCUGGGUGACAGAAUGAGACUAUAAAAGAAAGAAAGAGAGAAAGAGAGAGAGAAAGGAAGGAGGGAAGGGAAGGGAGGGGAGGGGAGGGGAAGGGAGGGGAGGGGAGGGGAGAGAAGGGGAAGGGAAGGGAAGGAGAAGGGAAAGGGAAGGGAAGAAAAUUAGAGAUUAAUUCAGGAGAUUCAACAUCCGCCUAAUAGAAAUUCUAGAAAGAGGAAGUAGAGAAUAGAGAGGCCAGGUGCAGUGGCUCACACCUAUAAUCUCAGCACUUUGGGAGGCUGAAGUAGGAGGAUUGCUUAAGGCCAGGAGUUUGAGGCUGCAGUGAGCUAUGAUUGAGCCACUGUACUCCAGCCUGGAAAACAAAGCAAGACCUCGUCUCUAAAAGUAAUAAUAUGCCGGGACAGUGGCUCCCCACACUUUGGGAGGCUAAGGUGGGCGGAUCACUUGAGGUCAGGCUUUCGAGACCAGCCUGGCCAACAUGAUGAAACCCAAUCUCCACUAAAAAUAAAAAAAUUAGCCAGGUGUGGUGCUGCACACCUGUAACCCCAGCUACCUGGGAGGAGACAGGAGAAUCGCUUGAACCCGGGAGAUGGAGGUUGCAUGAGGUGAGAUCGCCUCAUUGCACUCCAGCCUGGGUGAUAGAAUGAGACUCUGUCUCAAAAUAAUAAUAAUAAUAAUAAAGUUAAAUAUAAAUAAAUAAAAGCAAAUGAAUAUAAUGAGUUUUAUUCAUUUGUUUUGCUGUUGUUAUUGUUUUGGAGACAGAGUUUUGUUCUUGUCGCCCAGGCUGGAGUACAAUGAUGCGAUCUGGUCUCACUGCAACCUUCGCUUCCUGGGUUCAAGCGAUUCUCCUGCCUUAGUCUCCUGAGUAGCUGGGAUUAGAGGCGUGUGACACCACGCCCGGGUAAUUUUUGUAUUUUUAGUAGAGACGGGGUUUCACCAUGUUGGCCAGGCUGGUCUCGAACUCCUGACCUCAGGUGAUCCACCAACCUGGGCCUCCCAAAGUGCUGGGAUUACAGGUAUGAGCUAUCAUGCCUGGCCUCAUUUCUUUUAAAAUCAGAAGGAAAAAAUAUAUAUAACUUUUAGGCCAAAAAUGUCUUCACAUAUAUUAAUAGAUUGAUCUUUUCCCAAUGCAACCAUAAAUAUCAUUUUUUAAAAUUAUUAUUAUUUUAGAAACAGGGUCUCACUCUGACGCCCAGGCUGAAGUGCAGUGGUAUGAUCUUAGCUCACUGUAGCCUCCAAUUCCUGGGCUCAAGCGAUCCUCCCACAUCAGCUUCUUGAAUGUGACCUCAGGCAGACGUCACCGUGCCCAGCUAAUUUUUAAUGUAAUUUUAUUUUUUUGGUAAAGAUGGGUUCUCAUUAUGUUGCCCAGGCCGGUCUUGAACUCCUGGCCUCAAGUGAUCCUCCUGCCUUGGCCUCCUAAGGUGCUGGUAUUAUAGGAUUGAGCCACCAAGCCCGGCCCGAAUAUAAUUUUUAAAUUUUUUUUUUUAAGACAGAGUUUCACUCUUGUUGCCUAGGCUGGAGUGCAGUGCGAGACCCCGUCUCAAACAAACAAAACAAAACAAAAUGAGGACAAUGGGGCUUCCAAUGGCAACUCGAGACGUUAGUUUACUCCAGAGUCAUGGAGACAGUGAAUGGAGUGUGUGUGUGUGUGUGUGCGUGUGCGUGAGUGAGAGAGAGAGGAAGAAGGGAGGGAGGGACGGUUACAGGAGUGUGGGAAAGUCAACAGGAAAAGGAGGGAAGGUUCGCUGUGAACUGACAGUAACUGUGACAUCACAGGCAUGUGCGGAGUCCCCGCCCCCCCAGGCACUGUGCCAAGGCCAGUACCUUCAUGUCAUGAGACCCUCUCAGCAACUCUGUAACCUUGUCCCCACCAGAAUAUUCCUUUCACAGCUGAGAAAACAACAGCACAGAGAGGAUGAAUUAAAAAUUGUCUAACAUGCUGGGCGCAGUGGCUCACGCCUGUAAUCCCAGCACUUUGGGAUGAUGAGGCAGGUGGAUCACAAGGUCAAGAGAUCAAGACCAUCCUGGCUAACACGGUGAAAACCCGUCUCUACUAAAAAUACAAAAAAGUUAGCCGGGCGUGGUGGCGGGCACCUGUAGUCCCAGCUGCUCGGGAGGCUGAGGCAGGAGUUGCUGGGCACUGGACACAAGGAUUUCUAUCAGUGUGCUCUCCUGCACAUCACCCAGGUCUGGAGUGCCAGGAGGAUCAAAAACAUAGAAUCAAAGAUUAGCCACCUUCCAACUCCAAGUUUCCCCCACCCCAUGCCACCGUUCCUGCCUUGUACAAGUGAAGCAAGCAAUCUCUCCUGGUUUCACCCUAGGAGGUGGAAG